This 374-nucleotide ribosomal RNA is filed under the name uncultured organism. RNAcentral's name for it is "partial 16S ribosomal RNA". It matches the Rfam family "Bacterial small subunit ribosomal RNA", at positions 526 to 896 of the family's 1533-position model. The record is from RNAcentral.
GUAGGGGUGCGAGCGUUGUCCGGAAUUAUUGGGCGUAAAGAGCUUGUAGGCGGUUUGUCGCGUCUGCUGUGAAAAUCCGGGGGCUCAACCCCGGACUUGCAGUGGGUACGGGCAGACUAGAGUGUGUAGGGGAGACUGGAAUUCCUGGUGUAGCGGUGAAAUGCGCAGAUAUCAGGAGGAACACCGAUGGCGAAGGCAGGUCUCUGGGCCACUACUGACGCUGAGAAGCGAAAGCAUGGGGAGCGAACAGGAUUAGAUACCCUGGUAGUCCAUGCCGUAAACGUUGGGAACUAGGUGUGGGUCUCAUUCCACGAGGUCCGUGCCGCAGCUAACGCAUUAAGUUCCCCGCCUGGGGAGUACGGCCGCAAAGGCUA